RNAcentral lists this ribosomal RNA (460 nucleotides) under uncultured bacterium. RNAcentral describes it as "partial 16S ribosomal RNA". It matches the Rfam family "Bacterial small subunit ribosomal RNA", at positions 338 to 795 of the family's 1533-position model. The record is from RNAcentral.
CCUACGGGAGGCUGCAGUGAGGAAUAUUGGUCAAUGGACGAGAGUCUGAACCAGCCAAGUAGCGUGAAGGAUGACUGCCCUAUGGGUUGUAAACUUCUUUUAUCAAGGAAUAAAACGAGGCACGUGUGCCUUUUUGCGUGUACUUUAUGAAUAAGGAUCGGCUAACUCCGUGCCAGCAGCCGCUGUAAUACGGAGGAUCCGAGCGUUAUCCGGAUUUAUUGGGUUUAAAGGGAGCGGAGAUGGGUUGUUAAGUCAGUUGUGAAAGUGUGCGGCUCAACCGUAAAAUUGCAAUUGAUACUGGCAGUCGUGAGUACAGUUGAGGCAGGCGGAAUUCGUGGUGUAGCGGUGAAAUGCUUAGAUAUCACGAAGAACCCCGAUUGCGAAGGCAGCUUACUAAACUGUGACUGACAUUGAUGCUCGAAAGUGUGGGUAUCAAACAGGAUUAGAUACCCUGGUAGUC